RNAcentral lists this ribosomal RNA (254 nucleotides) under uncultured bacterium. RNAcentral describes it as "partial 16S ribosomal RNA". It matches the Rfam family "Bacterial small subunit ribosomal RNA", at positions 524 to 776 of the family's 1533-position model. The record is from RNAcentral.
UACGUAGGGUCCGAGCGUUGUCCGGAAUUACUGGGCGUAAAGGGCGCGUAGGCGGUCAGCACAAGUCAGUUGUGAAAUCUCCGGGCUUAACCCGGAAAGGUCAGCCGAUACUGCGGGGCUAGAGUGCAGAAGGGGCAACUGGAAUUCUCGGUGUAGCGGUGAAAUGCGUAGAUAUCGAGAGGAACACCUGCGGCGAAGGCGGGUUGCUGGGCUGACACUGACGCUGAGGCGCGAAAGCUAGGGGAGCGAACGGG